GAUGAACGCUGGCGGCGUGCCUAAUACAUGCAAGUCGAGCGAACAGACGAGGAGCUUGCUCCUCUGACGUUAGCGGCGGACGGGUGAGUAACACGUGGAUAACCUACCAAUAAGACUGGGAUAACUUCGGGAAACCGGAGCUAAUACCGGAUAAUAUAUUGAACCGCAUGGUUCAAUAGUGAAAGACGGUUUUGCUGUCACUUAUAGAUGGAUCCGCGCCGCAUUAGCUAGUUGGUAAGGUAACAGCUUACCAAGGCAACGAUGCGUAGCCGACCUGAGAGGGUGAUCGGCCACACUGGAACUGAGACACGGUCCAGACUCCUACGGGAGGCAGCAGUAGGGAAUCUUCCGCAAUGGGCGAAAGCCUGACGGAGCAACGCCGCGUGAGUGAUGAAGGUCUUCGGAUCGUAAAACUCUGUUAUUAGGGAAGAACAAAUGUGUAAGUAACUAUGCACGUCUUGACGGUACCUAAUCAGAAAGCCACGGCUAACUACGUG
Molecule: ribosomal RNA, 497 nt
Filed under: uncultured bacterium
Lineage: Bacteria
Description: partial 16S ribosomal RNA
Rfam family: Bacterial small subunit ribosomal RNA
Source: RNAcentral